RNAcentral lists this ribosomal RNA (381 nucleotides) under uncultured cyanobacterium. RNAcentral describes it as "bacterial SSU rRNA". It matches the Rfam family "Bacterial small subunit ribosomal RNA", at positions 376 to 770 of the family's 1533-position model. The record is from RNAcentral. Lineage: Bacteria; Bacillati; Cyanobacteriota.
CGAAAGCCUGACGGAGCAAUACCGCGUGAGGGAGGAAGGCUCUUGGGUUGUAAACCUCUUUUCUCAGGGAAGAACACAAUGACGGUACCUGAGGAAUCAGCAUCGGCUAACUCCGUGCCAGCAGCCGCGGUAAUACGGAGGAUGCAAGCGUUAUCCGGAAUGAUUGGGCGUAAAGCGUUCGCAGGUGGCGGUGUAAGUCUGCUGUUAAAAGUCGGGGCUCAACCCCGAACCGGCAGUGGAAACUACACGAGCUAGAGUGCGGUAGGGGCAGAGGGAAUUCCUGGUGUAGCGGUGAAAUGCGUAGAGAUUGGGAAGAACACCGGUGGCGAAAGCGCUCUGCUAGGCCGAAACUGACACUCAUGGACGAAAGCUAGGGGAGCG